This is a non-coding RNA of Schizosaccharomyces pombe (fission yeast), 590 nucleotides long. The record is from the annotation of a GenBank genome assembly. NCBI's taxonomy places the organism in Eukaryota, Fungi, Ascomycota, Schizosaccharomycetes, Schizosaccharomycetales, Schizosaccharomycetaceae.
AGGAUCGAAGAAAAUUAAGCUAAUUUAAGCAGUUGCUUAGCGAGAGGUGUUGUUUACACGGUCGGUGAUGUCAAAAGUCUCGUUAGGUCGAGGAACAUGAAAUAGGUCCAGGAUGGUUAGUUCGUUAGUGAGGUCUGAGGGAGAAAGAACUCUUUGGACAGGCUUAAUCCUAUAAACCUUUUCAGUCUGAAUAUUUUCUUUAUUUUCAUGUUCAAUGCGUUGUGCAGGGGUUCGGCGAACACGUUUAGUGCGUUUCAUGGGAACGCUAUGUACCGAUCCAGCUUUGGUAGAACGGCCGCGUUUGCUUGUAGAGCUGAUGAAAGUGGUACCGGCAUGGUCAACAGUUUUGGUGUUAGUGUUAGUACUGGAGCUUCCAGUACUAGUUCUGGGAGAAGUUGAGCGUCUUGCCGUAUUGGUGCGAUUUGGUAAAGCAGAAGCGCUGCUUGCUGGGUGACGGCUGUUGGAGGUGUUUUGAGAGCUCAUUGUUAGAAGUAGAAAGUGAUUGUAAAAGUAGAAUAUAGUUUGAUGUGAAUUAGAUAAUAGAAAGAAUAAGAGGAUAAGAAAAUGGAUGCAGAAAUGAGCGACUAAGC